CCCAGCUCUGCCGCCCAGCCCCUGGUCCUGGGUCCCACAGCGUCCAUGCAGUCCGCAGUGAGCUCUGUGCUGUCCACCUUCGUGAGCGAGCUCCCCGGCUGGCUCCUGUUCUCGGGGGGCUUCCUGCCCGUGGCUUUGCUGCUUUUCCUCCUGAUCGCCUGCUUCAGGGCCCACCUGAUGGAGGGCCCAUUCUUCAGAGGUGACUGAGCUGGAAGAUCCUAUAACAGUUCUUGCCCUGAAGACUAGGGCUUCUGUAACUCACCGGGGCCAGGAGAGCCACAAACAGUGGCCAGCUGCCAUUAUGAGCUGUCGAGGACCAAUGGCACUCGGCUGUGUCCAAAUUAUUAAUUGGUAUUUCUUCUUUCAGUAAAUGAAGAACUGUCUCAGAUUCCUGAUGGCCGAUCCAUGUGCAAGGACUGCUCUUCCCAGUCCUGGCAAAUGAAACAGAGGUGACUGUUGGGACUGAUCAAUGGCUAAAGCCCAAUGAACUUCUAAUCAGACCAAUGGCCCACAGUUAAAGCAGAACGCGGCAGCAAGAGAAGAAUACUAAUAUGGCAGUUCUGAGCCACACUGAAAAGUAUCAGAUAGUCUUUAUCCAAGAGGACUUCUCUGAGAACCAGCUUUAACGACAGCUCUUCAGGAAGUGCCAAGAACAUGAGACUUUCUUGGAUAUGCUCAAUGGACUGAACACGUUUUACUGUUCUUAUAACCAUGUUUACUUUGAAAGGCAUACUUUAAAAAUGAAAUUCUUGAGCAUCAUUACUACCUAAUCCCAUGGAAACCCACAUUACUCUGAUGCUAGUGAGGAAACUGGUGGAGAUCAAGCCAACAGCAAAAGAUGAGUGCCUUGAGACCUCCGUGGAUGACCCAGGCAAGAGGCCUCCUGCUCACUCCUCUGACAGUUGAGCAUUGCUUACACGACACCAGUUCAAGGCAGCAUUUCUGGACCUGCGUUUGCAUCUUAUUUCCUCAUUGUGUUCACAAAUCAUUACUGUGACAAAAAACAAGCAGAGUCUCCCAGUAUGAGGUAUGGACCACUCACCAAUGUAGACCUCAGCAUGUGACUUGGAAAUACUGACAAUUUGGGGCUGGGAAAAGGAAAGGAGAACAGGAUGUUCACAUAAUUGCUUAAGAAGACUAAUGCAAGACUUUGCCUAUAAAACCAAAGGGAAGCUAUACCUAAAUAUGGAAAGAAGUCAGGAGAAUUCUUUCAGUGGGAGUCCUACCUAAAGAGCCAACAUAGACAACUGAAAAGAAAUACUUAAUUCAAGGUGGUAGUUAAAACAAUGGUUAUUAUUGUGUUCUCUCCAUUUUUCUUGUUAACAGGAAUGAAAGAUUUUUAAUACUACCUAGAUCUGGUUAUAUUUCAGUUUUCUCACAUGACUCUACUAAGGUAUUAGUGAUGUGCUUUAUGAAAUGUAUCUGAUCACCUGUAAUAAAUGCACCAGUUUUGGUAGUGAUGCAGUCAUGCAAGAUUGUGUAGAUGACAAAAAGCAAAAAUGCAUUACAAGUGCCAGUAUUUAUUGUUUCUUCCCUUCAGCCCCACCCUGAAAUUCUUCAUGUCUUGUGAGCAAUCUGUUUGCACUUCAUGUAAUGUAAUUCAUUGUCCAAUUGAAGGCACUUCUCCAUGUUAUAGUGUUCAAUUACAAUGCAAAUGUCUGCUGGGACUUUCAGGCGGGGGUAAUUUAACAGUGUUCAUGCCAUAUGGAAGGAAUAACACUAUUCAGUUUGGGGAGUGAUCUCUUUUUAGCCCUGGGUGGAAUCAAGCUUGUGUAAAAGUGCUUUACCAGAAGGUGUGAAAGGAUGCUUCACAUUCCCACCACAGGCAACUGCCAGGCAAAUCUGGGGCUCAGUCACCAGGGUUUGCGCCAUCUUCCUUCAGAAAUAGGCGCUUUGGAAGCCCUUGUUCUGACUCUGGUGGCUGCCUGCCCACCUUCUCAGCUACACUGUUAACAGAUGAGCCCUAAUCAUGUAUGUUCUCCGCAGCAAGCAUAACCAAGCAGUUUAAAGCAAGACCUGUCUCUUUUGUUGCCACUGAAUAAGGUGGAAAUAAAGAAUACCCAAUGAGAUGACCAGA
Non-coding RNA from Heterocephalus glaber (naked mole-rat), 2077 nucleotides. NCBI's taxonomy places the organism in Eukaryota, Metazoa, Chordata, Mammalia, Rodentia, Bathyergidae. The record is from RefSeq and is a predicted model, not a curated record.